GGAAUUACCAGGUGGGGUGCAGGAGGCUUGGAUCCCCUCUUUUAUUGAUAUUACUAUAUAUAACGGGGGAGAACUAGGAGGAGGAGCGGGGAAUUCAAAAUUUCAGAUCCUGCCUUUGUGCUCGGUAGCGGGAGAUGAAACUUUUUGAAAACCGCCAUGAGACUUGGGUCAUUGGCACAUUGGACUGAUUGAAAGAAUUUAUGACAUUGACUCCACUCCGCUGCCGUAGAGCAAUGCCUCCAUCACACGAGAUAGUGCCACCACAUCGGUCCAUCUCGCUCAAAUCACACAUUCGCCUAUGUUGAAGACAACGUCCACAAGGGCUUGGGCUGCAAUU
This 337-nucleotide long non-coding RNA is filed under the name Setaria viridis. RNAcentral describes it as "long non-coding RNA (SVIR_LNC007653)". Lineage: Eukaryota; Viridiplantae; Streptophyta; Magnoliopsida; Poales; Poaceae. The record is from RNAcentral.